UGGCUAAUUCCUGUCAUGCAGACAGAGAAAAAAAAAAAAGCUUUGACGUCUUGUCCACAAGAGAUUCAGAAGAUUCAGAACAUGGUGGACGACAGUAAAAGAGAACCCUCUGAACUACAGAACUUCCUGCCCAACAAACAGGUUACAUGUGUACCCAUGAAGAUUCAAAGAGAUUAGGAAAUUAGCAGAAAACAGCUCUACAGUCUGCUUGGCAGCACAAGAAAGAUAGUAGGACCCAUUCGGAAAAGUGUGAGAAUGGACUGUUUAUUGUGUAAAUGGAAGAAACUGCCUGAAGAGGUACCUGGCGGCAUUCAUGUGUGCUGCAGUUCCUCAGAAAAAGAAUAUUUAAAGCAGCUCAUCACAACACCUUAACAGGUAGCAUUCCCUAAACAUCAGCUUUAGCUCCAGUUACGGAGUCUCCAAAACUGAUUGGUAUUUAAUGCCAAGCCAGAAUUUUCUCCAGAAAGGAAGAGGACCCAUUUGCAGACAAUUGUUUCGGGGUGUCGCUCCUCGUCAGUAGAGAGCGAGUUGUUCUGGCUUGGCUGGUGAGAGGCCUUUCACCUAGGCAAAAGGGGUAAGUACUCUCCAGAGACACCAUUUCUGGUGUGUGGAGAUUCAAAGGCCAUUAGCACUCCACUGGGGCAAUAUUGUCUCCGUAAGGAGAGUACUUACCACAGUUCCUCAGUACAUACUUGACUUCAUUUGUGUUUUAAUGCCCAUAUAAAAUGAAUAGGCACCUGAGCAUACUGUACUGUAUGUCAGCCGUAGCCCUUCUGAUGAACUUUUCAGCUUCAAUGUAGGAACAAUGCAAAAUGCAGGUGACUGAUUUUUUGACAUCCAUGUAUUUUAUUUCCUUUGGAGAUAUGUGUUUGAGACAAGUAUGGGUGUAGCCAAGUUUACUGCAAAUUUGAGCCUGAUAUAUUGAAUUUCGCCUUGCACGCCUUUCCCAAGGAAUGACACUGGUUUGCCAUAGACUUGUAAAACUAAAUUGUGUGUGGGGUUUUUGUGCUUUUUUGGCUUUUAUGAACCUUCCGCCAGAGCGUUCUUUUGUGACACAACCUGUCUUGGGUACAUCUGUGCAUUGUUAAACUAAUGAAUCCUGUCUGUGGAGAAAGGUCCAACAAGCGAAUGUUUUACUGGAUUCUUUGGCAUUGCAAGAAGAGAGAAAAAACUUGGUGAAGAAGUCGACACUAAUCGUGCACAGUAACAAGAGAAAAAGCUGCUUUUAAGAACUUCUGACACUAAAAAGGUUGCUUUGAGAACAGACUAAUAUGCACUUUGCUGUUCCACAUAUAUAUCCAAAGUUAGGAGAAGGGGCCAAUCUCACAAUGGUGUUUGGUGACCAUGUGUGUAUUCAGAUCCAAAACAUGUCACAGUUGAUAACAUGCUACAGUAAAAAGUGUUUAGUUACGCAAGCUGGAGCUAAACAUUUUCCUGGAUACAGGUUAAAUGAAUUCAUUAAUCCCACUGCUUCUAAAAAAUAAACAUUUUCUAAAACAAUGUUCUGUAGUUUCU
This is a long non-coding RNA of Hyla sarda, 1515 nucleotides long. RefSeq lists it as uncharacterized. The transcript has 3 exons. Lineage: Eukaryota; Metazoa; Chordata; Amphibia; Anura; Hylidae. The record is from RefSeq and is a predicted model, not a curated record.